RNAcentral lists this ribosomal RNA (340 nucleotides) under Actinomycetota bacterium. Its description in RNAcentral is "partial 23S ribosomal RNA". It matches the Rfam family "Bacterial large subunit ribosomal RNA", at positions 2587 to 2925 of the family's 2925-position model. The record is from RNAcentral. Lineage: Bacteria; Bacillati; Actinomycetota.
AUUAAAGCGGUACGCGAGCUGGGUUUAGAACGUCGUGAGACAGUUCGGUCCCUAUCCGUUGCGGGCGCAGGAGACUUGAGGGGAGUUGUCCCUAGUACGAGAGGACCGGGAUGAACAGACCUCUGGUGUGCCAGUUGUCAUGCCAAUGGCACUGCUGGUUAGCUACGUCUGGAUUGGAUAAGCGCUGAAAGCAUCUAAGCGCGAAGCCAACCCCAAGAUUAGGUCUCCCAUCUGGUUAACAGAGUAAGACUCCUUGCAGACUACAAGGUGGAUAGGCCGGAGGUGUAAGCGUGGCGACACGUUCAGCCGACCGGUACUAAUCAGUCGAGGGCUUGGUUCG